UACGUAGGGUUCGAGCGUUGUCCGGAAUUAUUGGGCGUAAAGGGCUCGUAGGCGGUUCGUCACGUCGGGAGUGAAAACUCGGGGCUUAACCCCGAGCCUGCUUCCGAUACGGGCAGACUAGAGGUAGGCAGGGGAGAGCGGAACUCCUGGUGUAGCGGUGGAAUGCGCAGAUAUCAGGAGGAACACCGGUGGCGAAGGCGGGUCUCUGGGCAGUAACUGACGCUGAGGAGCGAAAGCGUGGGGAGCGAACAGG
Molecule: ribosomal RNA, 253 nt
Filed under: uncultured bacterium
Lineage: Bacteria
Description: partial 16S ribosomal RNA
Rfam family: Bacterial small subunit ribosomal RNA
Source: RNAcentral